Molecule: small RNA, 150 nt
Filed under: Staphylococcus aureus
Lineage: Bacteria; Bacillati; Bacillota; Bacilli; Caryophanales; Staphylococcaceae
Source: RNAcentral
AGACGAGUUAGAUUAUAGAUAGAAAUAAUAUUCAAAAGAGAAAUGAAUGAGGACUUUGCAUUUCUCCACUCACCGAUGUUAUAAUUUAGUUAACAAGGAAACUAGCAUAGAUGCACCAAUCCCCUCACUACGGCAAUAGUGAGGGGAUUU